UAGGGAAUAUUAGUAAUGGGCGAAAGCCUGAACUAGCAACGCCGCGUGUGUGAAGAAGGCCUCCGGGUUGUAAAGCACUUUUAGAGAGGAUGAGGAAGGACGGUACUCUCAGAAUAAGUCUCGGCUAACUACGUGCCAGCAGCCGCGGUAACACGUAGGAGGCGAACGUUAUCCGGAUUUACUGGGCGUAAAGCGCGUGUAGGUGGUUUGGUAAGUAGGGCGUGAAAGCUCCCGGCUCAACUGGGAGAGGCCGUUCUAAACUGCCAAGCCAGAGGAUGGUAGAGGGAGGUGGAAUUCCGGGUGUAGCGGUGGAAUGCGCAGAUAUCCGGAGGAACACCAGUGGCGAAGGCGGCAUCCUGGGCCACUCCUGACACUCAGACGCGAAAGCUAGGGUAGCAAACGG
RNAcentral lists this ribosomal RNA (403 nucleotides) under uncultured bacterium. RNAcentral describes it as "bacterial SSU rRNA". It matches the Rfam family "Bacterial small subunit ribosomal RNA", at positions 355 to 775 of the family's 1533-position model. The record is from RNAcentral.